This 1527-nucleotide ribosomal RNA is filed under the name Klebsiella pneumoniae. RNAcentral describes it as "bacterial SSU rRNA". It matches the Rfam family "Bacterial small subunit ribosomal RNA". Lineage: Bacteria; Pseudomonadati; Pseudomonadota; Gammaproteobacteria; Enterobacterales; Enterobacteriaceae. The record is from RNAcentral.
AGAGUUUGAUCAUGGCUCAGAUUGAACGCUGGCGGCAGGCCUAACACAUGCAAGUCGAGCGGUAGCACAGAGAGCUUGCUCUCGGGUGACGAGCGGCGGACGGGUGAGUAAUGUCUGGGAAACUGCCUGAUGGAGGGGGAUAACUACUGGAAACGGUAGCUAAUACCGCAUAACGUCGCAAGACCAAAGUGGGGGACCUUCGGGCCUCAUGCCAUCAGAUGUGCCCAGAUGGGAUUAGCUAGUAGGUGGGGUAACGGCUCACCUAGGCGACGAUCCCUAGCUGGUCUGAGAGGAUGACCAGCCACACUGGAACUGAGACACGGUCCAGACUCCUACGGGAGGCAGCAGUGGGGAAUAUUGCACAAUGGGCGCAAGCCUGAUGCAGCCAUGCCGCGUGUGUGAAGAAGGCCUUCGGGUUGUAAAGCACUUUCAGCGGGGAGGAAGGCGUUAAGGUUAAUAACCUUGGCGAUUGACGUUACCCGCAGAAGAAGCACCGGCUAACUCCGUGCCAGCAGCCGCGGUAAUACGGAGGGUGCAAGCGUUAAUCGGAAUUACUGGGCGUAAAGCGCACGCAGGCGGUCUGUCAAGUCGGAUGUGAAAUCCCCGGGCUCAACCUGGGAACUGCAUUCGAAACUGGCAGGCUAGAGUCUUGUAGAGGGGGGUAGAAUUCCAGGUGUAGCGGUGAAAUGCGUAGAGAUCUGGAGGAAUACCGGUGGCGAAGGCGGCCCCCUGGACAAAGACUGACGCUCAGGUGCGAAAGCGUGGGGAGCAAACAGGAUUAGAUACCCUGGUAGUCCACGCCGUAAACGAUGUCGAUUUGGAGGUUGUGCCCUUGGGCGUGGCUUCCGGAGCUAACGCGUUAAAUCGACCGCCUGGGGAGUACGGCCGCAAGGUUAAAACUCAAAUGAAUUGACGGGGGCCCGCACAAGCGGUGGAGCAUGUGGUUUAAUUCGAUGCAACGCGAAGAACCUUACCUGGUCUUGACAUCCACAGAACUUUCCAGAGAUGGAUUGGUGCCUUCGGGAACUGUGAGACAGGUGCUGCAUGGCUGUCGUCAGCUCGUGUUGUGAAAUGUUGGGUUAAGUCCCGCAACGAGCGCAACCCUUAUCCUUUGUUGCCAGCGGUUAGGCCGGGAACUCAAAGGAGACUGCCAGUGAUAAACUGGAGGAAGGUGGGGAUGACGUCAAGUCAUCAUGGCCCUUACGACCAGGGCUACACACGUGCUACAAUGGCAUAUACAAAGAGAAGCGACCUCGCGAGAGCAAGCGGACCUCAUAAAGUAUGUCGUAGUCCGGAUUGGAGUCUGCAACUCGACUCCAUGAAGUCGGAAUCGCUAGUAAUCGUAGAUCAGAAUGCUACGGUGAAUACGUUCCCGGGCCUUGUACACACCGCCCGUCACACCAUGGGAGUGGGUUGCAAAAGAAGUAGGUAGCUUAACCUUCGGGAGGGCGCUUACCACUUUGUGAUUCAUGACUGGGGUGAAGUCGUAACAAGGUAACCGUAGGGGAACCUGCGGUUGGAUCACCU